RNAcentral lists this small nucleolar RNA (121 nucleotides) under Oryza sativa Indica Group (long-grained rice). RNAcentral describes it as "snoRNA Plant_U3". Lineage: Eukaryota; Viridiplantae; Streptophyta; Magnoliopsida; Poales; Poaceae. The record is from RNAcentral.
UCACCGGGAUCAUAGGGGUGGGACUUUAGUCCCGGUUGGUAUUACCAACCGGGACUAAAGUUAUGAUCUUUAGUCCCGGUUGGUGUUACCAACCGGGACUAAAGAUCCCGGGGGGGCCUGA